This 73-nucleotide transfer RNA is filed under the name bacterium. RNAcentral's name for it is "tRNA-Ala". It matches the Rfam family "tRNA". From Rfam's summary of the family: Transfer RNA (tRNA) molecules are approximately 80 nucleotides in length. Their secondary structure includes four short double-helical elements and three loops (D, anti-codon, and T loops). RNAcentral also lists the same sequence under 2 other names. The record is from RNAcentral.
GGGGACGUAGCUCAGUUGGGAGAGCGCUUGAAUGGCAUUCAAGAGGUCGAGGGUUCGAUUCCCUUCGUCUCCA